GAUGAACGCUGGCGGCGUGCCUAAUACAUGCAAGUCGAGCGAACAGACGAGAAGCUUGCUCUCCUGACGUUAGCGGCGGACGGGUGAGUAACACGUGGAUAACCUACUUCUAAGUCUGGGAUAACUUCGGGAAACCGGAGCCAAUACUGGAUAAUAUAUUCAACCGCUUGGUUCAAUAGUGAAUGACGGUUUUGCUGUCACUUAUAGAUGAAUCCGCGCCGCAUUAGCUAGUUGGUAAGGUAACGGCUUACCAAGGCGACGAUGCGUAGCCGACCUGAGAGGAUGAUCAGCCACACUGGAACUGAGACACGGUCCAGACUCCUACGGGAGGCAGCAGUAGGGAAUCUUCCGCAAUGGGCGAAAGCCUGACGGAGCAACGCCGCGUGAGUGAUGAAGGUCUUCGGAUCGUAAAGCUCUGUUAUUAGGGAAGAACAAAAGUGUAAGUAACUAUGCACGUCUUGACGGUACCUAAUCAGAAAGCCACGGCUAACUACGUG
RNAcentral lists this ribosomal RNA (497 nucleotides) under uncultured bacterium. RNAcentral describes it as "partial 16S ribosomal RNA". It matches the Rfam family "Bacterial small subunit ribosomal RNA", at positions 28 to 507 of the family's 1533-position model. The record is from RNAcentral.